This 1384-nucleotide ribosomal RNA is filed under the name Lactiplantibacillus plantarum. RNAcentral's name for it is "bacterial SSU rRNA". It matches the Rfam family "Bacterial small subunit ribosomal RNA", at positions 58 to 1425 of the family's 1533-position model. The record is from RNAcentral. Lineage: Bacteria; Bacillati; Bacillota; Bacilli; Lactobacillales; Lactobacillaceae.
CAAUUUGGGGUCGCUUGCAUUCAUGAUUUACAUUUCGAGUGAGUGGCGAACUGGUGAGUAACACGUGGGAAACCUGCCCAGAAGCGGGGGAUAACACCUGGAAACAGAUGCUAAUACCGCAUAACAACUUGGACCGCAUGGUCCGAGUUUGAAAGAUGGCUUCGGCUAUCACUUUUGGAUGGUCCCGCGGCGUAUUAGCUAGAUGGUGGGGUAACGGCUCACCAUGGCAAUGAUACGUAGCCGACCUGAGAGGGUAAUCGGCCACAUUGGGACUGAGACACGGCCCAAACUCCUACGGGAGGCAGCAGUAGGGAAUCUUCCACAAUGGACGAAAGUCUGAUGGAGCAACGCCGCGUGAGUGAAGAAGGGUUUCGGCUCGUAAAACUCUGUUGUUAAAGAAGAACAUAUCUGAGAGUAACUGUUCAGGUAUUGACGGUAUUUAACCAGAAAGCCACGGCUAACUACGUGCCAGCAGCCGCGGUAAUACGUAGGUGGCAAGCGUUGUCCGGAUUUAUUGGGCGUAAAGCGAGCGCAGGCGGUUUUUUAAGUCUGAUGUGAAAGCCUUCGGCUCAACCGAAGAAGUGCAUCGGAAACUGGGAAACUUGAGUGCAGAAGAGGACAGUGGAACUCCAUGUGUAGCGGUGAAAUGCGUAGAUAUAUGGAAGAACACCAGUGGCGAAGGCGGCUGUCUGGUCUGUAACUGACGCUGAGGCUCGAAAGUAUGGGUAGCAAACAGGAUUAGAUACCCUGGUAGUCCAUACCGUAAACGAUGAAUGCUAAGUGUUGGAGGGUUUCCGCCCUUCAGUGCUGCAGCUAACGCAUUAAGCAUUCCGCCUGGGGAGUACGGCCGCAAGGCUGAAACUCAAAGGAAUUGACGGGGGCCCGCCACAGCGGUGGAGCAUGUGGUUUUAUUCGAAGCUACGCGAAGAACCUUACCAGGUCUUGACAUACUAUGCAAUCUAAGAGAUUAGACGUUCCCUUCGGGGACAUGGAUACAGGUGGUGCAUGGUUGUCGUCAGCUCGUGUCGUGAGAUGUUGGGUUAAGUCCCGCAACGAGCGCAACCCUUAUUAUCAGUUGCCAGCAUUAAGUUGGGCACUCUGGUGAGACUGCCGGUGACAAACCGGAGGAAGGUGGGGAUGACGUCAAAUCAUCAUGCCCCUUAUGACCUGGGCUACACACGUGCUACAAUGGAUGGUACAACGAGUUGCGAACUCGCGAGAGUAAGCUAAUCUCUUAAAGCCAUUCUCAGUUCGGAUUGUAGGCUGCAACUCGCCUACAUGAAGUCGGAAUCGCUAGUAAUCGCGGAUCAGCAUGCCGCGGUGAAUACGUUCCCGGGCCUUGUACACACCGCCCGUCACACCAAUGGAAGAGGUUUUUGGUUAG